This 72-nucleotide transfer RNA is filed under the name Marmota monax (woodchuck). RNAcentral's name for it is "tRNA.Val". Lineage: Eukaryota; Metazoa; Chordata; Mammalia; Rodentia; Sciuridae. The record is from RNAcentral.
GGAGUUGUGGCUCAAUGGUAGAGUGCUAUGCCUCACAUGUGUGAGGCUCUAGGUUCGAUCCUUAGCACUACA